Non-coding RNA from Podarcis lilfordi (Lilford's wall lizard), 1066 nucleotides. The record is from the annotation of a GenBank genome assembly. NCBI's taxonomy places the organism in Eukaryota, Metazoa, Chordata, Lepidosauria, Squamata, Lacertidae.
CAGAUAAUGGAGGCAUAUAAUUUGGACAAGAAAAUUGGCUUCCAGGUGGAAAAAUCAAAAUUAGAAACAGAACUGUUAGAACCCAAAACUAAGAUUUUGUCAAAGAUGUAUAACUUGCUGUUGAAAUGGAAUACUCAGGAUGAAACGGUGAAAUCUGCUAUGAUUAAAUGGGCACAAGAUUUUGGACAUAACAUUAUGUUUGCUGACUGGGAACAGUUGUGGACCACAGGUAUGAAGUUUACGGCAUGUAAUGCUUUAAGAGAGAAUAUUAUGAAAAUGAUAGACAGGUGGUACAUGACCCCAGUCAAGCUUGCAAAAAUUUAUCACUUGCCCGAUAACAAAUGUUGGAAAUGUAAAGAAACUGAAGGUACAUUCUUUCACCUUUGGUGGACGUGCCCAAGGAUUAAGGCUUUCUGGGAAAUGAUAUAUAAUGAACUGAAAAAGGUAUUUAAAUAUAUCUUCUUGAAGAAACCAGAGGCCUUUCUCCUGGGCAUAGUCGGCCAAUUGGUGCCAAAGAAGGAUAGAACCUUUUUUAUGUAUGCCACAACAGCAGCAAGAAUACUCAUUGCAAAGUAUUGGAAGACACAAGAUCUACCCACUCUGGAAGAAUGGCAGAUGAAGCUGAUGGACUAUAUGGAACUGGCAGAAAUGACUGGCAGAAUCCGAGACCAGGGAGAAGAGUCGGUGGAAGAAGAUUGGAAGAAAUUCAAAGACUAUCUACAGAAUUAUUGUAAAAUUAAUGAAUGUUAGAAUGAUGUUGGAUAGAAAUUAAGUGGUUUCCAGCUGUAAUGCUUUAAGGGAUUAUGAAAAAUGGGUUGUUAAUAGGUAAAAAUUUAACGUUACUAUUUUAAGACUAAAGAUUAGGAUAAAUAAAGAGGGUAAGGAUUUGCUGAACCAACAAAUUGAACUGGAAUACAAAAAAUGGAGGUAUGAGGAGGUCCGGGAAACAAGCUAAAGGAAAACAAGUAAUGGAAAAUCUGUGUGUUUUUAAUUAUUUUUAUUUUGUAUUUUUGUUAUUUUUUUCAUUUUUAUUGUAAUACUUUAAAAAAGCUUAAUAAAUAUCUUA